RNAcentral lists this transfer RNA (57 nucleotides) under Ictidomys tridecemlineatus (thirteen-lined ground squirrel). RNAcentral's name for it is "Spermophilus tridecemlineatus (thirteen-lined ground squirrel) tRNA". It matches the Rfam family "tRNA", at positions 8 to 63 of the family's 71-position model. From Rfam's summary of the family: Transfer RNA (tRNA) molecules are approximately 80 nucleotides in length. Their secondary structure includes four short double-helical elements and three loops (D, anti-codon, and T loops). Further hydrogen bonds mediate the characteristic L-shaped molecular structure. tRNAs have two regions of fundamental functional importance: the anti-codon, which is responsible for specific mRNA codon recognition, and the 3' end, to which the tRNAs corresponding amino acid is attached (by aminoacyl-tRNA synthetases). tRNAs cope with the degeneracy of the genetic code in two manners: having more than one tRNA (with a specific anti-codon) for a particular amino acid; and 'wobble' base-pairing, i.e. permitting non-standard base-pairing at the 3rd anti-codon position. Lineage: Eukaryota; Metazoa; Chordata; Mammalia; Rodentia; Sciuridae. The record is from Rfam by way of RNAcentral.
UAGCUCAGUGGUAGAGCACUUGCUUGGCAUGUAUGAGGCACUGGGUUCAAUCCUCAG